GCCGGCGACCAUACCACGUUGAAAGCACCGGUUCUCGUCCGAUCACCGCAGUUAAGCAACGUUGGACACGGUCAGUACUUGCAUGGGUGACCGGCUGGGAAUACCGGGUGUCGCCGGCU
Molecule: ribosomal RNA, 119 nt
Filed under: Schistosoma mansoni
Lineage: Eukaryota; Metazoa; Platyhelminthes; Trematoda; Strigeidida; Schistosomatidae
Source: RNAcentral